This 672-nucleotide ribosomal RNA is filed under the name Triticum aestivum (bread wheat). RNAcentral describes it as "partial small subunit ribosomal RNA". Lineage: Eukaryota; Viridiplantae; Streptophyta; Magnoliopsida; Poales; Poaceae. The record is from RNAcentral.
AUGGCUGGUUUGUUCUGGAAUGCCAGGGGACUGGGUGACCCUGAGAAAUUUACCUUUAUUAAAAAUGCUUUGGUAGAGUUCCAACUUAGAUUCAUUUGUAUCCAGGAAACUAAAAAAACUACUUAUAACUUGGCUUGGCUUGAGAGUGUUAGUGGUAAUUGCCCUUUCUCCUGGUGCUUUGUUCCCGCUGUUGGACAAUCAGGAGGUCUUUUGAGUGGUAUUAAUACUAAUUUUUAUGAUAUCUUAGAUUCUGAAAAAGGAUGUCAUCAUAUUAGAUUCCUUGUCCGAGAUAGGAAAAAUGGAGAGAAGCUAAAUAUAGUAAAUGUUUAUGGAGCUUCGCAUAAUAAGGAUAAAGAAUACUUCCUAGUUGAAUUAGUUCAUAUUUGUAACUCUAACGCUUUUCUUAUUAUUGUUGGGGGAGAUUUUAAUAUCAUAUGGAAAAGGUGGUCUACUCUGUUUAAUGCAAUUAUUGAGAAUUGGGAGAUGAAAGAAGUAGAACUAAAUGGGAGAGCUUUUACUUGGUCAAAUAAUCAAGAAAAUCCUAUUUUUGAGAAAUUAGACAGAAUUUUAAUGUCUCUAUCUUAUGAGAGUUUGUUUCCUGUGAUGUUUCUUCGAGCUCUUCCUAGAGUCCUCUCUGACCAUGCCCCUCUUUUGCUUGAUUUGGGGAUGAAC